This 396-nucleotide ribosomal RNA is filed under the name uncultured bacterium. Its description in RNAcentral is "bacterial SSU rRNA". It matches the Rfam family "Bacterial small subunit ribosomal RNA", at positions 28 to 419 of the family's 1533-position model. The record is from RNAcentral.
GAUGAACGCUAGCGGCAGGCUUAAUACAUGCAAGUCGAGGGGCAGCGCAGUGUAGCAAUGCAUAGGCGGCGACCGGCAAACGGGUGCGGAACACGUACAGAACCUUCCUUCGAGCGGGGAAUAGCCCAGAGAAAUUUGGAUUAAUACCCCAUAGUAUAGUGGAGAGGCAUCUCUUUACUAUUAAAGAUUUAUCACUUGAAGAUGGCUGUGCGGCNGAUUAGGUAGUUGGCGGGGUAACGGCCCACCAAGCCUGCGAUCAGUAACUGGUGUGAGAGCACGACCAGUCACACGGGCACUGAGACACGGGCCCGACUCCUACGGGAGGCAGCAGUAAGGAAUAUUGGUCAAUGGACGAAAGUCUGAACCAGCCAUGCCGCGUGGAGGAUGAAGGUCCUC